Molecule: ribosomal RNA, 253 nt
Filed under: uncultured bacterium
Lineage: Bacteria
Description: partial 16S ribosomal RNA
Rfam family: Bacterial small subunit ribosomal RNA
Source: RNAcentral
UACGUAGGGUGCGAGCGUUAAUCGGAAUUACUGGGCGUAAAGGGCGCGUAGGCGGUUAUACAAGUGUGAUGUGAAAGCCCUGGGCUUAACCUAGGAAGUGCAUCGCAUACUGUAUAACUGGAGUUUGGGAGAGGGUGAUGGAAUUUCCGGUGUAGCGGUGAAAUGCGUAGAGAUCGGAAGGAACGUCAAUGGCGAAGGCAGUCACCUGGCCCAAAACUGACGCUGAGGCGCGAAAGCGUGGGGAGCAAACAGG